RNAcentral lists this long non-coding RNA (926 nucleotides) under Gallus gallus (chicken). RNAcentral describes it as "lncRNA (ENSGALG00010009745.1)". The record is from RNAcentral. Lineage: Eukaryota; Metazoa; Chordata; Aves; Galliformes; Phasianidae.
GGGGUCACCAGGUGUCACCAUGGGAUCACCAGGAGUCACCACGGGAUCACCAGGAGUCACCAUGGGGUCACCAGGAGUCACCAUGGGAUCACCAGGGGUCAUCAUGACAGCACCAGGAGGUCACCAGGGGAUCACCAGGAGUCACCAUGGGAUCACCAGGAAUCACCAUGGGAUCACCAGGAUCUCACUAUGGGAUCACCAGGAGUCACCAUGGCAGCACUGGGAGUCACCAUGGCAGCACCAUAAGGUCACCAUGGGAUCACCAGGAUCUCAUUCACCAUGGGAUCACCAUCAUCUCACCAUGGGAUCACUAGGAUUCACCAUGGGAUCACCAGGAUGUCCCCAUGGGAUCACCAGGAGUCACCAUGGCAGCACUGGGGGUCACCAUGGGAUCACCGGGAAUCACCAUGGGAUCACCAGGAUGUCACCAUGGGGUCACCAGGAGUCACCAUGGGGUCACCAGGAGUCACCAUGGGAUCACCAUCAUCUCACCAUGGGAUCACUAGGAUGUCACCAUGGGAUCACCAGGAGUCACCAUGGAAACACUGGGGGUGACCAUGGGGUCACCAGGAGUCACCAUGGGAUCACCAGGAUGUCCCGAUGGGAUCACCAGGAGUCACCAUGGCAGCACUGGGAGUCACCAUGGCAGCACCAUAAGGUCACCAUGGGAUCACCAGGAUCUCAUUCACCAUGGGAUCACCAUCAUCUCACCAUGGGAUCACCAGGAAUCACCAUGGGAUCACCAGGAGGUCACCAUGGCAGCACUGGGAGUCACCAUGGCAGCACCAUAAGGUCACCAUGGGAUCACCAGGUGUCACCAUGGGAUCACCAGGAUGUCACCAUGGGGUCACCAGGAGGUCAGCAUGGGAUCACCAGGACUCACAAUGGGAUCACUGGGAGUCACCAUGGGAUCACCAGGAGUCACC